Small nuclear RNA from Nomascus leucogenys (northern white-cheeked gibbon), 106 nucleotides. Lineage: Eukaryota; Metazoa; Chordata; Mammalia; Primates; Hylobatidae. The record is from Ensembl.
GUGCUCACUUCAACACACAUAUACUACAACUGCAACGACACAGAGAAGAUUAGUAUGGCCCCUGCGCAAGGAUGACACACAAAUUCGUGAAGCGUUCCAUAUUUUU